This 460-nucleotide ribosomal RNA is filed under the name uncultured bacterium. RNAcentral describes it as "partial 16S ribosomal RNA". It matches the Rfam family "Bacterial small subunit ribosomal RNA", at positions 338 to 795 of the family's 1533-position model. The record is from RNAcentral.
CCUACGGGCGGCAGCAGUGAGGAAUAUUGGUCAAUGGGCGCGAGCCUGAACCAGCCAAGUAGCGUGAAGGAUGACUGCCCUAUGGGUUGUAAACUUCUUUUAUAAAGGAAUAAAGUGAGCCACGUGUGCGUUUUUGUAUGUACCAUAUGAAUAAGGAUCGGCUAACUCCGUGCCAGCAGCCGCGGUAAUACGGAGGAUCCGAGCGUUAUCCGGAUUUAUUGGGUUUAAAGGGAGCGUAGAUGGAUUGUUAAGUCAGUUGUGAAAGUUUGCGGCUCAACCGUAAAAUUGCAGUUGAUACUGGCAGUCUUGAGUACAGUAGAGGUAGGCGGAAUUCGUGGUGUAGCGGUGAAAGGCUUAGAUAUCACGAAGAACUCCGAUUGCGAAGGCAGCCCACUAAACUGCAACUGACACUGAGGCUCGAAAGUGUGGGUAUCAAACAGGAUUAGAUACCCGUGUAGUC